GACGAACGCUGGCGGCGUGCUUAACACAUGCCAGUCGAACGGAAAGGCCCUGCUUUUGUGGGGUGCUCGAGUGGCGAACAGGUGAGUAACACGUGAGUAACCUGCCCUUGACUUUGGGAUAACUUCAGGAAACUGAGGCUAAUACCGGAUAGGAGCUCCUGCUGCAUGGUGGGGGUUGGAAAGUUUCGGCGGUUGGGGAUGGACUCGCGGCUUAUCAGCUUGUUGGUGGGGUAGUGGCUUACCAAGGCUUUGACGGGUAGCCGGCCUGAGAGGGUGACCGGCCACAUUGGGACUGAGAUACGGCCCAGACUCCUACGGGAGGCAGCAGUGGGGAAUAUUGCACAAUGGGCGGAAGCCUGAUGCAGCAACGCCGCGUGCGGGAUGACGGCCUUCGGGUUGUAAACCGCUUUCGCCUGUGACGAAGCGUGAGUGACGGUAAUGGGUAAAGAAGCACCGGCUAACUACGUG
This 468-nucleotide ribosomal RNA is filed under the name uncultured bacterium. Its description in RNAcentral is "partial 16S ribosomal RNA". It matches the Rfam family "Bacterial small subunit ribosomal RNA", at positions 28 to 507 of the family's 1533-position model. The record is from RNAcentral.